GCCCUAGUAACGGCGAGUGAAGCGGCAACAGCUCAAAUUUGAAAGGGGAAGCCGCCUGUCUAAGUUUGGAACAGGACGUCAUAGAGGGUGAGAAUCCCGUAUGUGACAGGAAAUGGCACCCUAUGUAAAUCUCCUUCGACGAGUCGAGUUGUUUGGGAAUGCAGCUCUAAAUGGGAGGUAAAUUUCUUCUAAAGCUAAAUAUUGGCGAGAGACCGAUAGCGCACAAGUAGAGUGAUCGAAAGAUGAAAAGCACUUUGGAAAGAGAGUUAAAAAGCACGUGAAAUUGUUGAAAGGGAAGCGCUUGCAAUCAGACUUGUUUAAACUGUUCGGCCGGUCUUCUGACCGGUUUACUCAGUUUGGACAGGCCAGCAUCAGUUUCGGCGGCCGGAUAAAGGCUCUGGGAAUGUGGCCUCCACUUCGGUGGAGGUGUUAUAGCCCAGGGUGUAAUACGGCCAGCCGGGACUGAGGUCCGCGCUUCGGCUAGGAUGCUGGCGUAAUGGUUGUAAGCGACCCG
This 514-nucleotide ribosomal RNA is filed under the name Aureobasidium proteae. Its description in RNAcentral is "eukaryotic LSU rRNA". It matches the Rfam family "Eukaryotic large subunit ribosomal RNA", at positions 77 to 651 of the family's 3401-position model. Lineage: Eukaryota; Fungi; Ascomycota; Dothideomycetes; Dothideales; Saccotheciaceae. The record is from RNAcentral.